AGAGUGAACGCUGGCGGUAGGCCUAACACAUGCAAGUCGAACGGCAGCACAGUAGGAGCUUGCUCUUACGGGUGGCGAGUGGCGGACGGGUGAGGAAUACAUCGGAAUCUACCUUUUGGUGGGGGAUAACGUAGGGAAACUUACGCUAAUACCGCAUACGCCCUUCGGGGGAAAGCCGGGGACCAGCAAUGGCCUGGCGCUGAUAGAUGAGCCGAUGUCGGAUUAGCUAGUUGGUGAGGUAAUGGCUCACCAAGGCGACGAUCCGUAGCUGGUCUGAGAGGAUGAUCAGCCACACUGGAACUGAGACACGGUCCAGACUCUACGGGAGGCAGCAGUGGGAAUAUUGGACAAUGGGCGCAAGCCUGAUCCAGCCAUACCGCGGUGGUGAAGAAGGCCGUUCGGUUGUAAAGUCCCUUUUGUAGGAAAGAAAGCUAUUACGGUUAAGUACCCGGUGUUCGUGACGGUACCCAAAGAAUAAGCACCGGACUAACUCGUGCCAGCACGCCGCGUAA
Molecule: ribosomal RNA, 512 nt
Filed under: uncultured soil bacterium
Lineage: Bacteria
Description: bacterial SSU rRNA
Rfam family: Bacterial small subunit ribosomal RNA
Source: RNAcentral